RNAcentral lists this ribosomal RNA (406 nucleotides) under uncultured bacterium. RNAcentral's name for it is "partial 16S ribosomal RNA". It matches the Rfam family "Bacterial small subunit ribosomal RNA", at positions 30 to 526 of the family's 1533-position model. The record is from RNAcentral.
AUUGAACUCUGGCGGCAGGCCUAACACAUGCAAGUCGCGCGAGCGGCGGACGAGUGAGUAAUAGCUGGGUAACUGCCUGAUGGCGGUGGCUACCUACUGGAAACGGUAGCUAAUCCCACAUAACAUUCUAUGUGCCUCGAUGGGAUUAGCUAGUGGGGUGGGUAAAGGCCCACCUAGCCGACGCUCCCUAGCUGGUCUGAGAGGAUGACCAGCCACACUGGAACGGAGACACGGGCCAGACUCCUACGGGAGGCAGCAGUGGGGAAUAUUGCACAAUGGGCGCAAGCCUGACGCAGCCAUGCCGCGUGUGUGAAGAAGGCCUUCGGGUUGUAAAGCACUUUCAGCGGGGAGGCGUUAACCGCAGAAGAAGCACCGGCUAACUCCGUGCCAGCAGCCGCGGUAAUUC